This is a long non-coding RNA of Oreochromis aureus, 1588 nucleotides long. The record is from Ensembl. Lineage: Eukaryota; Metazoa; Chordata; Actinopteri; Cichliformes; Cichlidae.
CAGGGUAUUGUAACGCCCCUUCUUGCGUUUACAAGCACAUAAUUUGCAUGUACAGAACAUUCAUGUAUUUUAAGAAUUAACUGCAACAUAGAGGUUCCUCCUUGUGGCAUACUCUUCCGAAUAUAGUGAUGACCUAAGGCCUUUGAGGUCACCAUGGACUGGACAUCCUUCCGUCACCUGUAACUAGGCAAACUCAAAUACCACAAGAAGCUGAAUACAUUCAGGCCUUUGCUCAGCUACUAUUUUACUGUACCAAUAUACUCAGCAUAUGAGUUAUGAUACAUAUAUUUAACUCAAUCAUUUUAAAGUAGUUAUAACUGCACCUGUAAUAAACAUGUUAAUAUUUGAUUAUGAUAACCCUAUAAUAUAAAUUAUAACAUAAUGCCAGCAGCUUCAAUAAAUGCUUGGAUGAAAUGAUAAUUAAUGCAAUGACAAGAUGAUGGUUAUGUAAAAUAAUCCCUAUAAUUCUACAAUUCCCCCUUUUGACGUCUUCCAAAGACGUCACUACACUAUUCCCAGGUCCACUACCUUCGCUCUGACCCUCUCUCUGCUACACCUUACUAACCUACUGUGUUCAUCUCAGGUUCCUGUCAUUAUUCAAAGUUGGUUCCCAAUAUCAUAUCAGGCAAAAUCACAAACCCUACUGCCACGUCUGCUUUGUUAAGCUCUUCAGUUAGAUUCUGUACCGGUUUGCCACUCCGUGUGUACAUGUCUCUACACUUUUAAUGUCUAAAUGCACAUCUGGAUGUAUGUGCACUUGUACAUUAAAAGUGUAGAGACAUGUACACACAGAUUGGCAAACCGGUACAGAGUCUAGCUGAAGAGCUUAACAAAGUAGACGUGGCAGUAGGGUUUGUGAUUUGGCCUGAUAUGAUAUUGUGAACCAACUUUGAAUAAUGACAGGAACCUGAGAUGAACACAGUAAGUUAGUAAGGUGUAGCAGAGAAAGGUUGUUUGUUUUCUAUCCCUUACAGGAGAAGAUUUCCACUAGAGAGGGACCCAGAAAGGAGCAGAGACCACUUAAGCAUGAAGUGUUUUCAAGUGGGAGCUGGUGUUUUAUUGCUGGACCACCUAGAGGACAUGAGGUUGUUGUCGGAUUUGCUGAGUCAGGGGGCGGCUAGAGAGGGUCAGAGCGAAGGUAGUGGACCUGGGAAUGGUGUAGUGACGUCUUUGGAAGACGUCAAAAGGGGGAAUUGUGGAAUUACAGGGAUUAUUUUACAUAACCAUCAUCUUAUCAUUGCAUUAAUUAUCAUUUCAUCGAAGUGUUUAUUGAAGUUGCUGGCAUUAUGUUAUAAUUGAUAUUAUAGGGGUUAUCCUAAUCAAAUAUUAACAUGUUUAUUACAGGUGCAGUUAUAACUACUUUAAAAUGAUUGAGUUAAAUAUAUAUGUAUCAUAACUCGUAGGCUGAGUAUAUGGGUACAGUAAAAAGUAGCUGAGCAAAGGCCUGAAUGUAUUCAGCUUCUUGUUGCAUUUGAGUUUGCUUAGUUACAGGUGACGGAAGGAUGUCCAGCCCAUGGUGACCUCAAAGGCCUUAGAUCAUCACCAUAUUCUUAAGAGUAUGCCACAAGGAGGAACCUCUAUGUUGCAG